RNAcentral lists this long non-coding RNA (35240 nucleotides) under Malus domestica (apple). RNAcentral's name for it is "long non-coding RNA (MDOM_LNC012306)". The record is from RNAcentral. Lineage: Eukaryota; Viridiplantae; Streptophyta; Magnoliopsida; Rosales; Rosaceae.
GAAAUCAACGUCCAUACUGCAUAAACUUUUAAAGAAAAACCAAGAAAGAUUAUGGUAUGCACAAAAAUAAACCGAUUUACGUGUGCAGAAGCAAUCUAACUAAGAAAUCAUAUAUGCGGAGUUACUUACAGAAUACUGAAGCUGCAAACCAUUCGUUGAUGAUUUUUACUAUAUCCUAGUCCAUCUGACAUCGAUGCUCCACCUGAAUGUUUUUCCAGAGUGUUAAUUAAAUAUAUCGAAAUCAUACAAAACGGAGAUUUCCCAAAUAAAAUCAUCUGUGAAUGAUAGAUGAUUCCUUACUUCUUAGCUGAGUUAUUGAGGUUCCAACUUGAUAGCGAUUUUACCACUUGUAAAACAAAGGGUUAAACCAUAGAAAAUUCUUGCAAGAGAACAAGUGUUUGUAGUAUAGAAUGGCUCAAGCAAGGUCGAUCUCCUCAGGGACUGAUAUAAACAAUUUACGAGUUUUUGUGUAUUUAACUUAUUUAACUCUAAGAAUUACACUAAUUUGACGAAACUAAAUAUUACUAGAUGUGACUUAAACAAAUAUCUAAAAUGGGAAUUGGUUUAUAAGGAUAAUGAUUCAACUUAAACAAAACAAGUAAAUAAGGAAAUUUAAGAUAAAAUAAAUUAUUGAAGAAAAAUAGAUAGACAAUAUGCUAGAGUUCAACCUUUACCAACAACAUUCUUACGUAGCUAUUCCAAUUGCUUAAAUAAUUGAAAACACACAUGCUUUGAAGGUUGGAUUUUCCUUGUGUAUGUUUUACUUGUGACAUUCAAGCUAAAACGCAUACCACUACAUGCAACUUAUCCAUGACAUUUGGAUUAAAUAUAAACAUGAGUGAUUCAUUAAUCUUGGUGAAAAUCCUUUUGUUAAACUAUAUAAUCCCUAAGAGCAUGAUAUUUACCUUAGGAGAGUACAAUUCUCAAUCACAAGAAGCACAACCAAUUUUAACGUGACAUUCGUUCAAAAUUGCAUCCGAUAACUUUUCUAAGCAUCCUAAUGGUGAUCAAGCAUCAAGGUACAUAGAUAGUUUAAUUCAGUGAUUGAAAAUAUCGAAGCAAGCAUGUAACAACACUUAAGCAAUUGGAAAAUAAAACUACGUAUUCAUGUUGCGGCUCAUGGCCUCACUCUAGCAUAAUAAAUUAGUUACACAUAAUUAAUUUGAUACAUAAGAAAUUAAGGAAAACUAAUGAAAAGGGCUUCAAUAUUUUAAAUUUUAACCAAAAACCAGGUAAUAGUUUUAUUUAAUGGUUAGGACAAAACCUAAUGUCAAACCAGCCCAUUAAGAUUGGCCCAAACAAAAUAAUUUAUCGAACUACCGGUUUUACCCCCUAACAUCAGUCUUGCUCCAACGUUAGGUUUGACGAAUGUCGUUGCUAAGCUCUGCGCGACUGCGCCCAUGGAGGUCGUUUCCAUACUAUGCCCAUUCAAAAGAAGUAUGUAAUGGAUAUACAUCUGAUCCUCCAUUUCAAAUUUCUCCAAGUACUCCCGUACAAAUUGAUCCAAUUGCUAUCUAUUUUCACACUCGACAACCUAAUUCCCGUGCACCCCCCUCUCCCUCUCUCUCCGCUCACCUUCUUCCCUCUCUAAAAUCCCCAAUUCCAAGUCCUAUUCCGAUCGAAGCCUCAUCAAUCAACAAAAAGGUACUAAAAAUUCUCAAACCGUUGCUAAAUUAGGAUUGAUAUUAUGUAAUUCUUCUUCCUCUUUGUUUUUUUUUUUUCGAUUUUUCAAGAAUUAUUCUGUAAAAACAUUUUCCAUUUUAGUUGAUAUUAUGUAAUCCAACUAAAUUAGGAUACUAAAUAUGUUCCAUAUGUUCCAUCUUCGUGUAAAAACCUGUUCCAUCUUCGUGUUCAUGGAUACUAAAUCUGUUUUUGUAUUAGUGGAGUGUUUCACGAAUAAAAAUGGGGAAGCUGAGUUAUAUCAAGUAUCACAACCCAACGGCGGUGGUGAUUGUGGCAAGCAUGGUGAUCAAGACAAGGGUAGAUACAGUUGGAUUUUUCCCCUCAGGUCGUGUCUUGUUAAGUCAUUGGUUCAAGGGGAAGUUUAUAUAUGUUGUUGCCUGUAUGGGAAAGCGAUUUGGGAAUAGGCACCUCCACCAAGUGGUUGUCUAUGGGACGUACUUUUGACCUUCAUCACAAGUUAACAGGUAAAUUCAAGGCCCCCGAUUCACUGGAACCAUGUGGAGCUCUCAUUUCUGCCUAUGACAACCGUUAUUACCUACCUUGCACAGCCAAGGGUCCAUGGGGAGCUGUCGAGCCCCUUUCAGUGUUAUCAUCUUGGUUCUGACACUUGGAAAGAUCUGCCAAGAAUUCCCCCCGAUCUUCGUCAUAAUCUACAUGACAUUGUAGCUGGUUAUGCAGUCUGCAAUGAUCAUAUUUUGGUUUCGAUUAGCAACAGAUUAUUUGCCUAUCAUGUGCAUGAGAAAAAGUGGCAUUGUGUAUCUAAACCCAACAGGUUUUUUGGUAUUUCCGGUAGGGCAGUGGUUUUAGGCGACUAUAUCUAUUAUGUAGAUUCAAUGUCUGGUCUGGUUUGCGAAAUUACAUUUGACUGCACUGACUAUAAUCUGAGCACACAUGUGUUUUUGGAAGGUUUGACAUCUUUUUGUGAAUGAAAAUCAUGGAUUUGUGCAUGAAAAUUUAUGUGGUGUUAUUGUUGUAUCUGUAGGUGCCCUGUAAUUGUGUUUUUGUUUUAUGCAUGUUCAGUUUAAGAAAUAGUGAUAGUACUCGUGCUCAGUUCUAGGUUCAGUUUAAGAAAUAUAGUAAUAAUAUAAUGUUCAGUUUAAGAAUAGUAUAUCUGAGAACCCUCUCAAUGAUGCAUGCGCACAUUUUAUCUUUUAACUAUCUUGGAAAAUUGCAAGGGUGAAGUGCUUUCCUUGUAGCUCAAUUCAUCUCAACUUUGGUUUUUGUUCCUUGUCAAUUAUUCUUAGUAUUAUGUUUUCGUUUUGUAAAUUUUCUUUUCAUAUUGCCACUGUUUCGGUGGUCUCUUCUUUGCAGCCCUUUACAGCUUGAGUAUGGAGUGCUUCCGUAUCACAAGUUGAAUUGUUCGUUGCUUCCUAAUCUCUGUUUUCAUUUUCAAUUCCAUUCGAAUUCACCAUUUUUUCGAAUCACCAUAUUAAGAGUCUUUGAUUCACUAGUACUAUCACUGUUUCGUAAACUAAACACUGACUAUUUCUUAAACUGAACUAGUACUAUCACUGUUUCGUAAACUAAACACUGACUAUUUCUUAAACGGAACACUAGUACUAUCAUUGUUUCGUAAACUAAACACUGACUAUUUAUCAAACGAACACUAUUUAUCAAUCGAACAAUAGUACUAUCACUGUUUCGUAAACUAAACAUUGACUAAUUCUUAAACAGAACACUAGUACUAUCACUGUUUCGUAAACUAAACAUUGACUAUUUAUCAAACGAACACUAGUACUAUCACUGUUUCGUAAAUUAAACACUGACUAUUUAUUAAACGGAACACUAGUACUAUCACUGUUUCGUAAAUAAAACACUGAUUAUUUCUCAAACGGAACACUAGUACUAUUAUUGUUUUGUAAACUAAACACUGACUAUUUCUUAAACGGAACACUAGUACUAUCAUUGUUUCGUAAACUAAACAUUGACUAUUAAUCAAACGAACAAUAGUACUAUCACUGUUUCGUAAACUAAAAACUGACUAUUUCUUAAACGGAACAAUAGUACUAUUACUAUUUCGUAAGCUAAACACUGACUAUUUAUCAAACAAACAACAGUACUAUCACUGUUUCGUAAACUAAACACUGACUAUUUCUUAAACGGAACACUAGUACUAUCACUGUUUCAUAAACUAAACAUUGAUUAUUUAUCAAAUGAACACUUGUACUAUCACUGUUUUGUAAACUAAACACUAACUAUUUAUCAAACGGAACACUACUACUAUCACUGUUUCGUAAACUAAACAUUGACUAUUUAUUAAACGGAACACUAGUACUAUCACUCUAACACUGACUAUUUAUUAAACAGAACACUAGUACUAUCACUGUUUCGUAAAACUAAACACUGAUUAUUUCUCAAACGAAACACUACACACACACACACACACACACACAUGAGUUCAAUUUUAUAAUGAGAUAGAUCCAAGGCAAUUGCAUGAGACUUCCAAACAUAAUUCAGACCAAACAUAAUCAUAAACUAGUUUCCAAACAUAAUUCAGACCAAACAUAAUCAAAAAAAAAAAAAAAAACAUAAUCAUAAACGUUGAUGUGAGUCUCGCACUUUAAGUUUCAUUGAUCCAAGAAAUCUUCCCUUAACCUUCAUUAUUUUGUAGUGAUUUGUGUAGAAGUUUGGAUUAUACAAGUGAAUGUGCAAUGUGAUACACUCGGUGAAAUUAUGUCAUUUUCCAAUCUAAAGUUCAUUAUUGUGUAGUGAUUUGUGGAAUUUAAAUUUUUUUUAAUUUAUUUGAUGAGAGGCGAGGUGAGGAAUUGGAGAUACUUAAUUAUGUUGGGGGUUAAUUGGUAUUGACUGGCAAAAGUUUUUUUUUAUUUUUUUAUUUUUGACGAAUCCUUUAGAAAAUUGCAUAUUUGUAAAUAAAUGAAAGUUUAAUUCUAACAAAAGUGGGCUGACAGAAGGCAGGGGCAUGGAUGCAAAAUGAAUUUCUUAUUUUGCACGUGAGGCUUCCUUGUUUUGGUUGUUCUUUCUAGUUUUUGUCAUUUUUCAUUAAAGUUUAAGUCAUUUUUAUUAAAUAAAGUUAGUAAAUGAUUUUUGGUUAAUAAAAUGUUUGAAAAAACCUUUUUCAUUAAAACUCGGGUCUAAGGUGAAUAAAUAUUUGGAAUAAACAACAUGACAAUUUUUAUUCCUAAAGAAUGUUAAACACGACCUGUAAAUAAAAAAAGUUAAUUGCAGAUCUAUGGUAGUUAUGAUCUAGUGAAUGAUUAUUUUGUUCUAGCUAUUCUCGAGUAACAAAAGUGGGUUGCCAGCUUUGGAGCAAAUGUUAAAAUAAAUUAUCAAAUUGGGAAUAAAAAUUGUCAUGAUAUGGGUUUUCAAUUGGUGGAAUGAUUGCAACCGUUUCGGGAAAAAAAAAAAGUUGAAAAUGAAUUAGUUUUUGUUUUAUUUGACUUUUGGGCUCGAUGGCAAUUUCGUAAAUAAUAUGAAGUUAUAUUAACAGAUUUUGGUUAACAUCUGUUAGGGACAAAGCUGGAAGAAAAAUUUGAUGUUGCAUGCUGGGCUUUGCUUCAGCCCGUGGGACUUUUGUUUUUUUUUUGGCCUAUUGUAUGUUACUUGUGUCAUUUUCAUUAAAUGUCAAGCCAUUUUCAUUAAAUAAAAGUUGUUAAUGGUUUUUUAUUAAGAAAAAGUUGCCCCAAGCCCUUUUCAUUAAAACUCCCAAGAAAUUAUUCAUAACAGAAAAUAAAUAACUAAGAAAGAAGACACCCGUUUCUUUUCUCCCGUCGCAAGUCUAUGUGAAAUUUUUGGUGUGCACUGCCUUCUCCUGCUCCUGACUUCCUCUUUCCUCUGCGCCUGGUUCUCUGUCCGUGUCUCUCUCCUCUGCUUCUGCGCCUCCUGCGCACUGUCCUUUGUUCUCUGCACCUGGCGCACCCCUUCUCCGUCUCUCCCUCUUUCUUUUAUUCUUCUCUCAGUCAGUCCCCCCACUUCUUUCUUUUAUUUUAUUUUUUUCUCUGUUCUUGCCUUGAGUCAGCUCGUGUCUGCCUUGCCUUUUUGCUGCGUCCAUCCACGUGUCCUGCACUCCUCUUUGUGCACUCAGUCUGUCCUCCACUCUCUUUUUAUUCUUCUAUUUUUCUUUGCUUUUAUCCCGCACUCCUCACUCCCUCUCCAGCUUUUUGUUCCACUUCCUUUUCUUAUAUUUUUUUUUCUCUUCUUUUUCUUCCUGCCAGUGCUGCACUCCCCUUUGCUUAUUUUAUUUCUUUUGUUUUCUUUUUUUUUUAUUUCUUUGAUCCUAAAACAAAAUUAACUGUACAUUAACACAAGGUAAGGUAAAAUGCCACAAUUUUAACACAAAAACAUCACAAAGACUUUAGAAAUGGAUGGUAUAAAUGCAUGAAAUAUAUGAGUGAUCACAACUGCUGAACAACAUUGUAAAAUACAUGCACCCCAAGGAAUAUGUUAGGUAGAAAAAUUCGAACUUUUAAGGGAUGUCGUCAUCCCCUCAAACUUGAUCUUUGCAAAACUAGAUAGCAUGAGAAGUAGGUUUUAGUUUUCUGCUAAAUAACAGGAUUGAAAAUCUUGGUCAUUUUUAAGUUUUAGCUAAGAAACAAUGUCGAAUAUUUCAAACUUUGCUCUCUUUAAUACUUUCUCUGCCAUUUUCUUCGCAACCACAUAAGGUUAGUAUACUUUAUGCUUGCAACACGCAGAGAGAAAGUAUUAACCCGACAUGAUUCUGAAUCUAUUCCAGUUGAAAAAGUCGCCAUGACGAUAGAACAUAUCACAAUCAGGAAACUCUGCACGAAGGACAGCGUAACACAACAUGUUUGUACCAUACUUGACCAAUCCCGAAACUACUGAGCACCGGUCAACGUUAUACCAUCAAGGACCCAGAAGAAUUUCCCUCUAACCAGGAGGCCAAUCACAGCGCGACACAUGUCGACAUCAGAAGCCAAUCAUAGCGCGACACGUGUCAACAUCAGAAGUCAAUCACAACACGAUACGUGUCAAUGUCAGAAUGAAACUAGAAACUCUCUUCUAUAAAUAGAGAUCAUUCUCUCACAAUAUUUCCUAAUGUCAUUUGUACUAAAUCAUUCACUAGUACUCACUAAAGGAGAACUUGAACCUAUGUAAUUGUGUAACCCUUCACAAUUAAUGAGAACUCCUUUACUCCGUGGACGUAGCCAAUCUGGGUGAAUCACGUACAUCUUGUGUUUUCUUUGUAAGACUAAACUUAUCGAAAAUAUAAGUUAAGAGAUUAAGCUCAAGAACCACCAAUUUAUACAAGUAUUAAAAUCACAAUUCGAUAAACACAAUGACAAACUAACCUGUAAAAAUAGUAGUAGAAGAAGUCAAAGCCGACUUCUAAACAGUGCGCCUUCUCCUCUCUUGCAAAACCAAAAGUACUCAAACUAACAAUAGGUCUUAGUUUAAUAUUGAGCGUAUGUUUUGUGAGAGCAGUGGCUUAUGUUUUUAUACUAAACAUAGAUUGCCCUAUUACAAUCCUACAAAAAUACAAGACUAAAUCCUUGUAUAAGUAUGAGUUCUAUUUUCGAGCCAACGGUAGAGUUUCAAUCCAAACCAAAGUUGAAUUAACUCUUAUAAACUCAUUAAGACCUCUUUAUACCAAUCUGAAAUAACAAUGAUUAUUACUAAACUGUGAGAAUCACACUCAUACUCUAACAUUCUCCCACUUGAGUAUGAUUCACAACAGUAAAUAAUCAUCUCAAAUUCAAUAUAAAGGUGAUCGCAUAAGUCAUUCAUCAACACACUAGUACAUAGAUACAACCAGCUUACAUAAACCAAAACAAUGAAUUUAUAAUUACCUCUGCAACACAAAAUACAGAUUUAACUUAUAAAUCACAAUGUCCAGUUCAUGUUCAUAGCAAUGUAUCUAAGCUCAAAAGUAAACCAAGACGUCUACUCCCACUCAUAUAGCCACCAAAUCUUUUGGAUAACAAAAGUUUAACCUCACAUACAACUUACCUAUGCAUUUUAAAGUAUUGAACUUAAGAAUCUUUUCUGUUACAUCGCAGAAUUAACUCAAAAGUCACAACAUACUUAAUUUGCACUUUGUAAUUAUGUGAACCAAUAUAACAAAACCAAACCAAUUUGCUCCCACUUAUCUAGGCCAUACUCAACACAACCAAGUUAAGUACAAGUUAAUAGCAACUAUAUUAACUAAAAUCAUUCCAAUACAACGAAUGACUAAUCAGAAUCCAUAUGGAAACCAAAUUCGUUUCUUUUUGAAUGCUAACAUAAUAUGAUCCUUCUCAUUACUUAAACAAAUUAAGUAACACAAAUAAUUCAACCAAUUGCUUCAAUAAAACCAUAAACUGGUUUUUAAGCAUCCAUAUGAAUUAUAAUGGCCGGCCUAAAUACUCUUAGCCUUAUGCUUACAUUCGAACAUAUGAUUCUCCCACUUAAAGCAUAAGCAGAAUAUACUGCACAGUCGAUAAAGAAAUCGGAGAUAUGAACCAAUUGGUUCCCGAUUCCUUACCUAUUGCAUAAUCUCAGUUUAGUCAUAUAAACCUAAACCAUUAUGCAAAACAGUCUAUGUAUCAAAAGAUAGUCACAAUCCAUUCGGAAAACUUAUCUCACAUAAACCCAAAAUCACCAGUUUCAACAAUGAUCAAAAUUAGAAUAGCAAACACAAUAUUUUUGCAUUCAAUUUGAUCUUAACUAGUUCAAUAUCCAUCGAGCAAGAUCAACCAAAAUUUGAUAAUGUUUGGAUAUAUAUCACAACAAUAUAUCUUAAUUAAAACGAGAUAAUCAAGACCAGUAUUUCUUCUGGAGAACUCGAAGUUCGUCUUCCUCCCUAUUUGUGAUUUCAACCAAAAUAUAAUAGCGGAAGCAUGCAUCAUGAAAUCACAAAUAUACAUAUACAAUAAGCAUGCAUCGAUAUAUACAUGAUAAGAUUAGUCGACAAUAAUCCAAAUUAAAAAUCUUCAUGCCUUUAAUUCAUUGUCAACACCAUCAUCAAUUAUAUACAGAUUCGUACGCAAGUCCUUGGAGAAAAUAAUGAUAGCUACAUAUCAUUAAUCUUAUGAAUUUCCAAUAAGAUGACAAAAUAAUUAUUUGCUUUCCGAUUCAUAAUAGAAUAUAUAUUUUGUAAAUGGCUAAAAGUUUAUUGUCACGAGACUCAUUAUGGCCGGUCAAUAAAACAUCUACCUUAUAUAUUCAUCUGUUCAUAUAUUUUCUUGUAUGCAUGUAUGCAUCAAUAUUCAGAGAAACUUAUGCAAGUUCUAUUUGAUAUAGAUAAAACCGCAUGCCCAUAAUUACAAAGUCUAUGCACGAAUGCUAUCUCCAUAUAUAUACAGAUUUCAUUCAAAUAUGCUAUUAUGUAUAAAUCACAAAGCAAUUGACAUCCACUAUAUAUAUGCAUUUAUUUUGUUGCUUCUCAAUUAAUCAUUAUCACGACAUGGCUAGGAAAACUUAUCUUCAUGUUUUCCCAUGAAAGCAAAACAAAACCAUUUUUGAUGAUUACAUGAGAAUCAUGAAGCCAGAAAAAUAAUUACACGUCUUGCUACCGCAAAAUGGAUGCCAACACAGAAUUUCAGCAACAAAACCAAGCAUUAUUAGGAGGUCAAGUUAGAGAGCAGUGCACCUUAGCGGCCACUUCGAAAGAUUUGCAAUACAUAUACUUUCCCGGCUCCUCAUUUAGUGCCUUCUGGAAGCACUGAGAUGCCAUUUUGAAAUAAACCCUUGCUUCAUUAUCUCGUCAAGUUCUUUAAUCCAAACCCCCAAGCUUUGCAAAUUCCCUAGCAGAUUUGUAUCUGAAUGCAUCAUUGGACCCGUAUUCGACAACCCGAUUGCAAUUCCUCGGCUCCAAAUCAACGAAACAAAUUAUCCAUCAAUGCUCAAGACCCAUCCAUACAGAUUGCCAUCAUUCCCAAUUCCCAUGGACCUCGUACCAUUGCAACAAUAGAUUGAUGAACAAGUUAACGUCAACAUGAAGAACCAUAAUAAUCAUAUAAUCUCAUUAUGCAGAUAACAUGAUCUUUGUUCAAUGGUUCUUAAUAACACAAUUAGCAUAUCAAAAUACAAGUUUAUUCAUUAUGCUAAUAAUACAAGGAGGAUUAAUAUUAAUAAACCAAAAUUAUCUCAAUCUACAAACAUCAUAACCAACUGCACGGAAGCAAUGUAUUCAAAAUUAAAAUUAUGAUGUUUAAAUAGAGAUAUAAUUUACUAAUUUGAUACAUACACCUUCAAUUAUGCAGGGGUGGGAAGAAAAUCUCCAACCCAGAUUGAGAAUCGCAAGUUCUCCCCUUGUUCAGAUUGCUAACGGUCAAAAAUUUGAAAAACAAAACCCUAUUCUUUGUCUUUUAAGUAGCCAACAGGCAUAAAAUUAUACUUAAAAGGGUAUGCUACAAACGAUGUCGUAUUAGUUGUUCUUCGAAAACCAAAUGGACAGACUUGAUAUAAAAGACUUAGUUUGCUAAAACAUUGCAGAUUUUUAAGGGUACAUGUAGCAUGAUUUGUUUUGCAGGGAAGGGUACACAAGUGCAAACGAGGAUUCCAUGGACAUGGAAACAUGCUGCUUCGACAGCUGCACAAACGAUGUACUGCCGCAACGUUUUGAUCCCAAGGACAUGUAUCAGCAAUACAAGAUUAAUCUUCACAAAAACAUUAUAAAUGUGUCGGGUGAUUUUGUGGCCAGAUCAAUGUCCAAAGAUGGGUACCAUCCGGAGAUUUUUAAAAGAGACAAUAUUGACCGACUAAAUAAUUCGGCCCUUACAGCAACCCUAUACGUAUAUCCUGGUAUAUAGCCAAUUUUAAUACUGAAUAACAAAAGGACCCUGUGACAAUUGACUCUUGACUUAUAUUUUCACAAACUUUUAUAUGAGUUUGACUUAUAAUAUAAAAUUCCUACAAGUAAAAACAUCGUCACUUUUAUUCCCUUAAAACCCUAGAAAUUUCUUUGCAAACCAAGGUCAAUUCCGGCUAAACCAUCACGCCUAUUAUUGCUUUGAUUUUAAUACUGUCAAUUUGAAUUCAAGAGCAAAAACCUUAGGCUCUGAUACCACAUGUAAGACUAAACUUAUCAAAAAUAUAAGUUAAGAGAUUAAGCUCAAGAACCACAAAUUUAUACAAGUAUUAAAAUCACAAUUCGAUAAACACAAUGACAAACUAACUUGUAAAAAUAGUAGUAGAAGAAGUCAAAGCCGACUUCUAAACAGUGCGCCUUCUCCUCUCUUGCAAAACCAAAAGUACUCAAACUAACAAUAGGUCUUAGUUUAAUAUUGAGCGUAUGUUUUGUGAGAGCAGUGACUUAUGUUUUUAUACUAAAUAUAGAUUGUCCUAUUACAAUCCUACAAGGAAUACAAGACCAAAUCCUUGUAUAAGUAUGAGUUCUAUUUUCGAGCCAACGGUAGAGUUUCAAUCCAAACCAAAGUUGAAUUAACUCUUAUAAACUCAUUAAGACCUCUUUAUACCAAUCUGAAAUAACAAUGAUUAUUACUAAACUGUGAGAAUCACACUCAUACUCUAACAUGCUUCCUUGUCCCUAUCCAUUUACAUACUUAUCCACACUAGUGACCGGAGCAAUCUAGCGAAGGUCACAAACUUAACACUUUUUGUUGUACCAAAGUCCCCAUUGAUUUUGUGCAUCAACACAACAUAUUACUGCUGUUGAGAUUGAUACUGAGUAAAUUUGGUUCCUGUCAUUGUUAAACUCAUCGGUAGAAUACUAGAAUAUCCAAGCCCUACUUAAUGAUCUACAAAGUGUCGACGUCCUUCUCUAUUUGAUUUUGUUCCUUGCCUUCAGUGGUAGGAAGAUCACCGGAAAUAGGUCCCUUUCAUUAGGCAUUGCCGCAUUGCCAUACUUUACAACAACAGUUAAACACAAGAUUACAAUUUAGAGAUACUCAACAUACACCUGUAGCUAAUACAAUCACAGACACUGUAUAUAUCACAUUCAAAUCCAGACAACAGACCAGACAUCCUCAGUACUUCAAGUGAACGGUAAUCCUCAGCAAUGUUUCUGCACCAUCUGUUGCUCGUUGACCUGGAGGAAUCAGUGGUUUCAACUCUGCAAUUCCAUUGGCAUUCUUGAAUUUGCCUGUCCCUCCAGUCACUGACAGUUGCGACUUGCUACUCCCAAUCUUGUACACUCCGAAGAAGUUGAGGUUAUCAUUGUACUCCCCUCCUUCCAUCAUAGCCGUAAAUGCCAUCAGCUGACUUGAUCCAUCCGCAGAGCUUGCCACAUAGACUCCUUGAGCUUUCCCAAUUGUCUGUGAACCCAAUUCGGGACUAGAGGUCAGUAUGUCAUCAAUAACGGUGACUGUCCCAAAGCCUAGUCCCAACCCGUCUGGUGCCAGUUGGGUAGCUGUAUUGCCAUUCUUUUCACCAUUAGGAUUUCCGGCGAAGGAUGUACCAGAUAAGCCGGUUCCUAGUGGGAGACCAUUGGCGCCAUUCACAGUUGGAAUGGCACCGUUGGCAUUAGGGAUAGCCACACCACCGUCUGGAGGAAGGAACCCUAUCGGCUUUGCAAAGGGCACUUCACUGCUGUAUAUAUUGCCUAGCAAGCCAGUGAUUGGCCUAGCCGUAGGGCUACUCCCUCCAAGAAUGUCAUGCAUGUAUAUUUCCAGAACUGGUUCGCUGCCAACAGCUGCAGGUUCAACUGCAGCCAAAAGUGGUAUUGCUGUCUGCAUGUUUGCAAUCAGCAGUACGGUGAAAUAGACGAAAAUGUCUGCUUUAACAUCCUGAAACUUUGGUAUCUGCUGGAUUAAGGAUCGAACGCUGAAGUUUUCGUGCGGAAGUACGAUGGUUGGCAACAUGUGUUGGUCUUGAUAUAGAGGAGGCUGUCACAUGGAGUGGUUGAGACUGCUCCAAACUCAAGAGGUGAAGUUGUUGGAUUAUUUUAUUGGUACGAAUAAUAUGAAUUUCGGUUACAGGUGAAUUAGUUGUUGUCACAGAUCACAAAGAGAAGUGGGUUUGUUGUAUCAUUGGUUACUCAUAACAUUUCUCUGUACUUAAGGUACCUUUUGGUACGUGGAACGGGACGGAACAGAGUGGGACGAGGUGUUCCAUCCCACAUUUGUUGCUCUUAAAUCGGGUGGAACGCGCUGUUCUAUGGGACAAAUAAUUUGAAUUAUUUGAAUUAUUUUAUUUGUACGAAUAAUUUGAAUUUUUCUUAAAGGUGAAUUAGUUGUGGUCACCGACCACAAAGAGAAGUGGGUUUGUUGUAUCAUUGGUUCCUCAUAACAUUUAUCUGUACUCAAAUGAACUGAUCAUCAUUGCAGAUGACAGUAAUCUCCAAUCUUUUGUGCCAUGAAUUUUCUUGUUCGUUAGAACUGCUUUUUAGACUUGUAAGCUGUAACAAUGGAUAUUUUUCUCGUUUUGGUUUCAAAGAAAAUCUAUUGUUUCGAACUCUGGCUCACAACAACCUUUUUUGCUAUAUUUGGCAAAACCUGUGUGCUGAAAUUUUGGGUUUUUUUGGCUUGCAGAAAAAGAAAUAUUGAGUUUUUUUUUCUUUGUUACAUUUGAGGAAUCGAUUAUUUGACCUAUCUUUAAUUCUAAUAUAUUACUUGAUAGAAUAUAGAAAUUGAUGUAUAGGAUGAUGACAUGUGUAAUUAGAUUAGAAGAUGUGUUAGUUAAGGCAGUUAGCCUUGUUGUUAGAAGUGUAUAAAUAUCUCAACCUCUUGUAUUACUUGGUGAUUAAGAAAUAUAUCAAGAACAUUCAUUCUCUCUCUCUUCUCUCUGAAUUGUUAUCUCUCUCUAGAAUUUCUGUAUACAAUAGAAACAGAAGGGGCUGGACCCCAAAGGUCACUAUGAACUAUAGCAAAGGGUUUUACAGACUUAUUGGGACUUAGAGGAAAAGGAAGUUUACAAAAUUUUCCCUCCAAACAACUAGAACACAUGACAGGUAAGGAUAGUUUGGGACAGGGAAUAUGAGCUUGUUUUAACAUCAAAGAAACAAUAGAAUUGGAUGGAUGGCCUAGUCUAUUGUGCCAAGUAGUAGAGUGAAUGUGCUGAUCGAGAAGAGCUUUAGCUUGGAACGGUACUGAGGUGGAUCCAUGAGAAGUGGUUGAAAGACAGGGAAUUGGGUAUAGACCAUUACUGCAUACUCCUUUGUAAAUGAUCCUCCCUAUGGCCUUGUCCUGAAUCCAGAAGCAAAAAGCAUCAAAAAUUAGCCAGCAAUUGUUAUCCAAACAGAUCCGAUGCACAGAUAAUAAGUUUUGGGUUAACUUCGGAACAUAUAACACAGAAUUGAGCUUCAUUGGAGGAACAUAAUUAACGUUGGAAAGAUUAAGAACAGUACUGCCAAUAUGAGAUACAAGCAAACCUUCACCAUUGGCAGUUUGGACAAUCUCAGAAGUAGGAUAUGGAGAUGCCAGAGAUAAGUUGCUGAGAUCAGAAGUCAUGUGAUUGGUAGCACCAGAGUCAGUGAGCCACACUUGAGGAUUAGAGUGAGAAUGAGAUGCCACGCAAGGAGACUGAGGCAUCACAGUAUGCAUAGCUUGAGGAGAGAAUUGGUGUCCAUUCAUGGCAGAGUGCUGACUAGAAACAUUGUAACCGGGAGCACCAAAGCUUGAGGAAUGCAGCUGAGACGGAUAAAACUGACUGGGAGCACCAAUAAAAUUAGGGCCUUUGUCAUUAUAAAAACAAUACCAUGUGGUGUGAUUGUGCUUGCCACAGAUUUGACAAUUAACUCUGUCAGAAGGUUUAGAACGGCAGAAUGGUGCGGUGUGUCCUUCAGCAUUACAAAGUUGACAGGUUUGCACCAAGGAAACACUUGAAUGGCCAUAAGACUGCACUGGGGAGUGACCAAGGAUGCCCGGAUUCGGUGUUGGUAGCACAUGUGCAGAAUUGGACUGGAUCCAGCAACUCUUAGUAUUCUUGCAGGUUCCUUUAUUCUCUCCACCUGUGUUGUUUUGUGAUAAUCUGUCUGCCAUUGCGUUGUCUUUUAAUCCCGUUCAACAUCAACGCACUAAACACAUUGAGAUUGAUGUUCAUUUUGUGCGGGAACGAGUGGCAAAGAAGCACCUCUCUGUGCAGUUUGUGUCGUCCAAAUAGCAGUUUGCUGACAUUCUGACUAAAGGCUUGAGUUCUCCUUUAUUUCAUAUUCACUGUUCCAAUCUCAUGCUUCGUGCCUCCCAGCCUGAGUUUGCGGGGGGAUGAUAGAAUAUAGAAAUUGAUGUAUAGGAUGAUGACAUGUGUAAUUAGAUUAGAAGAUGUGUUAUUUAAGGCAGUUAGCCUUGUUGUUAGAAGUGUAUAAAUAUCUCAACCUCUUGUAUUACUUGGUGAUUAAGAAAUAUAUCAAGAACAUUCAUUCUCUCUCUCUUCUCUCUGAAUUGUUAUCUCUCUCUAGAAUUUCUGUAUACAAUUUCACAGAUAUAGUUACAUUCACAUUACUCACCAUCUUUCACUAUUUGGGCUAAUCCAAUGACUUACUUAGAUAUUGAAUGAAUAUGACGUCAUAGAUGUAUCUUGAAAACAAAUAAAAAUAUUCAGUGAUUUUUUUUCCGGUUACAUUAGAGUAAGCAAUUGACCAAUCCUAUUCCUAACCUAGUACCCACCAUCCUUCUUCGCCACUUGGGCUAAACCCUGACACAACAAUGUAAUAUUCUAAGCACACACGGAAUGAUAGGGAGUGUAGUUUGAACCGUAAAACCAUUAAGAAUACGAGGAAUAGUCCAAUUCUUUAUAAGCACGUGUGUUAAUCAUGCUUACCAAGCAAAACACAAUCAAGUUGGACAACUACGUCCAGGCCCAGUUAAUUCCAAUGCUAAGACUAAGCCAAUGUAGUGUUGGAUAAUACCAACAAUCAAUGACAAAUAUAUGUAUAUGUAUGUAGAAAUAAAAUUGAAUAAGCUUAUAAACAAAUAAAUGGCAACUAAGUAUAUUGACAAAGUAUAAAUAAAUGAAACUAAUAUUAAAAAGAUAAAGUAAAAAUCAAGGCUUGCGUACGGCAAUGUCUUUGAAAUAGAAUUUUGUCAUUACUUUGUGUUUGUAGUUUGAUUGACGUAAGUUUCACUAGGAUUCAACGAUCUAAGUCAAGAUCCCAGCAUCGGAAAACUUGACUUCUGGCGAAUGUCAUUCUAGUUCUCUUAGGAAGAUAGGAUUUGGCAUAAUUCGUAGGAAGAAUGAUUUAUGUGUGUUUGAUUGAUAUGCAAAUGCAUGUAUAUAUAGUAAUAAUAUACCUGUUUGCAACAUGUAUGAAUUUGGGGGACGACUGUUCAAUAAAGGAGUGUGUGGCUUCAUCUUUUCCUCAUACCUUUUUAGACAUUCUCGGACUUCAUCCGGAAGAAUGAGUAUGUUGAAAAUAAAAAAGAUUAAACUAAAUCCAAAAUUAGUUUAAUAAAUUAAUUAUUGAAUUUAAUAUUUAAUUAAAGUCUGAGGCCCAUCUUAUCACACCUGAUCAAAGUCCAAGGUCCAAGCCUAAUUUUGUUCUCCAUGGUCAUCUUUCAAAUCGGUUUGUAAAAUGAACUUGAUGUUAUAAGACGUAUGAAACUUUCCAACUUGAUCAAUGUGGGACAAAUAAGAUUGAUGAAAGGAAAUUUCCACUAAAAAACUCAAACAUAUAGGAACGAAGCACUGCUUGCUUCGAUUUUUGCUAGAUAUAUGGGUUUUACUCACUUUGGAUUGGAUUGUCAGCCAACGUGUUAAGUCAGCUUUCGCCUUUCCGCGAGUUAAAAGCGAUGAAAGUUGUCUGUCAUUUUCAGGCAAAAACUUUCAAGUGCUAUGUGUUUCUUAAUACCUCUGGCUGUUGGGGGCUCCUUAAAUCUUGUUCCUCGUACAUUUGGUCCCUACCUAAGUUCAACAACCUCUCUUCUCUUUGAAAUCUCAGUGCCUCCUUCGCUUCCAAGGCUCUCUUCCCAUCGAUCCUAUCAGGGUUCUGUUCAUUUUCUCAAUUGUCCCGUUUGGUUCGUGCACUUGGAUUCGUUUCAAUUGUCUUUCUAUUUUUUUCAUAGGAGUUUCUUGGAUUGCAAGAUGAUAGGUGCAUUAUUUAUCAUAUUUUCAUAUAAAUUAUCCUAAGUUUUGUUAAGGAAUUGAUUAUAAAAGAGCCUUAUUACUUUCCUUUUCUCAGUUUCAGCCAAUCUGUGCACUUAGUACGUGUUUGGUGAUAAUUCGACUUUCCAGAGGAGUUUUGAUGCAAGGCCAAUUGGAGAAGGAAGCUAAGAGGUUGAAGAUCGUUGUAUCCGAAUUUGAUAAUUUUCCAUGAAGCCAUUCAUUCCAGUUUCACAAAUCAAUCACGCAGAAGUUGUUUUCCCGUCAGAACUGCGCAGCUGUGGGAGAAUGAAGAUUUGGAGGCUUUCCCGAUUUUUCCUAGUGGAGUGCGAUAUAUGCCUGGAAAGAUAAGAGAUAAAGCUACGUUUCCCAUAUUUUUACAGGUUUUUCCAGAAGAUAAAUCAACCCCAAAACUGGCGUGCAAGAAAGAUUCCGUGUUUCCCAAGUCAAGAAGGAUUCUUUCCUAGUUUGUGUCAUUAAUUGUUUAGGAGUUUGUUUUAUUUUAGGAGACUUUCUCCCAGACCUCUUUUUUUUUUUUUUUUGUUACCCUCCACCACCCACACAAAUACAAACACAAACCUUUUAAGGUUAUUCUAGUAUAAAUAAGGUCCCUAAUCUCUCUCUAAGGAUCCAUCACCCCCCGCAUCCCUUAUAUCACCCACACUAUACACCAUUCACCAUCUCCGCAAUUUGUGAAGAAGAGCUUCGGGAAGUGCUUUGCCAUGGAUUCCGGGUUCUAUGUCUCUUUUAUUUUUAUUUCUAUGUGUAACUAAGUUAUUUUCUAAGCUUUAUGAUGAAGCCAUGACAUUGCGAAGUACUUUGUUAAUUAUUAUCUAAUUAUAUGCCAUGUUAUAUUCUAAAUCUUUGUGGGUAUUUUAUUCUAGGUUCGAGUUUCUAAUGACUGAUCACCUUUAGGAAUUUUGCAUCUAGAUAGUUAGAUAAAUCUAUGAGGAUGACCAAUAUCAAUUUGGUUUAUUGGAACUAAGAUUAAGAAGAGUAGACAAACUAGUGAGGAUGACCAAUAUCAAGCUAGUCCUACUUGGUUGAUAUGAUUCUUCUAUAUGCUUAAUGGGGGUUUAAGUGUUUAAUUGUAUGCCUAUCCAAUAGGAUAUAAUUAUCUUGUAGAGAUACAAGAGUUUAUGCCUGACCACGGAUUAAUCCAUACCUUAGAAAGAACAACCUGUAAUAUUGGCAUGGUAAUUGGAUAAUAGUUGGCUUUUAGAAAAGUAAAUAGGAUUGUUGUUGGUGGAUUCAUAACCUUAGGUUUACUUGUGUUUUAGUUAAUUGUCUUUUAAUUUUCUAGUUAAUUUUAGUUUUAAUCAAUUACUCAAUUAUUCAACUCAAUCUAUCCUUUGUUUGUUUAAUUAAGUCUAGCGUGAUUAAUCGGUUAAAUUGGUGUUAAAGCAAUCAUGUGGGAUCAACCUCGUAUUUGCAUAUAUUACUAUAAGUCUACAAUUGAUUCAUGUGAUUGCGAGUUUAAUUUGGUUUAAAUGAAUCUAUUAUUUAGGUUAGUUUAAAUAUACAUCACAAGACAAUAGAGCAAUUCGUUCAAGCUCAAUUUGUAAGAAGGCACAGUUUGUUGUAAAUCCAGUACCGAAAAAACCUCGACUUUCCAGCAAUUUUUAGUUUGUUCAUUUCUGUAUACACUUAUAUAACACGGCCUUUGUCAUAGUUCUUGUUCCACAGAUGAGCUUGGACUUAAGGAUCCAAAACACAGAAACACAGUUGCAAUAGUUUUUGAUAAUUCGAAGAAACUGACCAAAUGAAAGACAUAAAUUUUGCUCUUGUAUAUAUGAAUAACAAAACUAAAAUUGAAAUACAAAUUCAAUUUUGAAAAACUUGAGCAUUAACCAACACUAAAAUAAAAUAAAAUCAAAUCAAACUUUGCAGUUAAAAUCUCCACACCAUCAAAUUCUCAGUAACUCAGAUGAAUGAUGAUCCCGAGCAAAGUUUCAACCCCAUAUGUGAAGAAUUAGAUAAUUGUGUAUAUGAAUUCAUUCACUUUACAAUAGAUCAAUACGAGGGUAUUUAUACAAUACAAUGAUCAAUUAAGAUCCUACAAUCAUGCCUACAUAAGUUGUUCCUUAUUCUACACAUCCAUAUAGAGGGAAAGUAAUCAAUCUAGGUGAUUGAUAUCAUAUUACAUCAAAUUAGCCCUAACAGGCUUUACUUUCCUCAACACUCCCCCUCAAGUUGGAAUGUAUGUUGAUGAUUCCCAACUUGCCAAGUAAAGCCAUGAACUGGGGAAGACCCAAUGGCUUAGUGAAGAUAUAUGUUGGCUGCUAUGAGGUCCGUAUGUGAGCUGUCUUGAUUAUUCCACCUUGAAUCUUCUCUCAAAUCAAGUGGCAGUCAAUCUCUAUGUGUUUAGUUAUCUCGUGGUACAUUGGAUUUGAAGCAAUGUGAAGUGCCGCUUGGUUGUCACAGAAUAACCUAAUAGGGUUUGAAUGUGAGAUGCCCAAGUCUCUCAAAAUGUAUUUUAGCCAAGUGAUCUCGCAACAUGUUGUAGCCAUAGAUCGGUAUUCAGCUUCAGCGCUUAAUCGCGACCUAUUGGUCUGCUUCUUGGUUUUCCAAGACACAAGUGACUCUCCAAGGAAGAUACAAUAUCCAGUGGUGGAGCGACGAGUAUCACGACAUCGAGCCCAAUCCGUAUCACAAAAUACCUUUAAUUGAAUGGAGUCGGAUGCAGGGAGAAAAAUGCCUUGUCCCGGUGUGUAUUUGACAUAUCGUAAUACUCGAUAAGCUGCUUCUAAAUGCGGAGUUCGUGGUUUAUCCAUAAAUUGACUUAAAAUGUGGACAGUAUAAACCAAGUUUGGUUGUGUGACGGUCAAGUAGAUUAACCUACCAACGAGCCUUCAAUAAGAAGAAGGAUCAUUGAUGUAGUCACCAUCAUCUUUGCUUAAGGAUAAAUUAUGCUCCAUGGUGGAAAACGCUGGUUUCACUCCAAGAUAACCAGCAUCCUUAAGUAUCUCAAGAGCAUACUUUUGUUGUGAAAGUGUGAUGCCCUUGGUGGAACAAGCAAUCUCGAUGCCAAGGAAGUACUUCAAUUGACCAAAAUCUUUCAAUUUGAAUUUUUACAUAAGAAAGAACUUUGUAUCUUCAAUGUCCUGUAGAUUAUUCCCUGCCAAAAUGAUAUCAUCUACAUAAACAAGAAGAGCAGCAAAUUUUCGGCUUGGUUUCGGAAGAACAAUGAAUAAUCUGCCUUGGAUUGACUGUACCCAGCUUGCUUAAGAGCUAACAAGAGUUUAAGAAACCACUGAUGGGAAGCUUGUUUGAGGCCGUACAGCGAUUUAUGGAGCUUACAAACUCGUGUCUCCCCCUUUCGACCGAAACCAGGAGGUAAAGACAUGUAAACAUCUUCAUGAAGAUCUCCAUGAAGAAAGGCAUUGUUAACGUCAAGUUGAUAGAGAUGUCAAUGGUGGAGAGAAGCAACAACAAGGAGGAGACGGACAGUAGCAUGUUUGGUGACCGAGGUGAAAGUUUCGCGAUAAUCUAAGCCCUCAAUCUGACUGUAGCCUUUAGUAACCAACUGUGCUUUAUACCGUUCAAUGGAUCCAUCAGAGUUGAACUUGAUUUUGUAUACCCACUUAAAACUGACUGGUUUCUUGCUAAGAGUUAAAGGUUGAAGGGACCAAGUGUCGUUGGCUUCAAGGGCAGCCAAUUCAUGUUCCAUGGCAAGGCGCCACUUGGGGUCAGAAGUAGCUUGGGCAAAGGAAUGAUGCUCAGUCGUAACUGAAAUAGAAGUGGUGAAAGCACGAUGCGUGGGCGACAAACGAUCAUAUGAGAGAACAGUAGAUAAGGGAUGAGAGGUACCUCCAGUGUCAGGCAACGCCGAGUUAGAUGAUGGGAGAAAUCGAGAAAAGAGUGUGGCAUCGAUGUGAUACUGCUGAAGAUAGAGAGGUGGAUGGGUGGUACGUGUGAGCCGUGGAGGAGGAACCAAAGCAAGAGAAUGGUCAGGGGUUGUACAUAUGGCAUGGGGCGCAGGCAUGAGAUAUGGUGCAUGGGUCUUAUGCAUGGAAGAAGAUAUAGAAGGGUCAGUGGAAGAGGUAGGCAUAAGAUCAUUAAAAACAGGCUUUUGAGCGUGGGGCAGCACAAGGGGAGAAUCUGCAGUGGAAUAGGGGAAAGGGAAUGCUGUCUCAUGAAACAAGACAUCACGAGAGAUGAAGAUUUUCCCCGUAGUGAGAUCAUAUAGCCGAUAACCUUUGGUUCCGUAUGGAUAACCGAGGAAAAUACAGCGCGUAGCCCGUGCAUCAAAUUUGGUAGGACGGUGAUGAUGGGAAGAGGCAAAACAUAAGCACCCAAAGACCCUGAGAUGAUCAUAGGUGGGUGGUUUGUGAAAGAGCAGUUCAUAGGGCGUUUUCCCCUUAAGGACUGAGGUGGGAGUACGAUUAAUAAGAUAUGUGGCGGUUAAAAUGGCAUCACCCCAAAACUUCUUAGGAAGAUUGGCUUGAAACAAUAGGGUUCAGGCUACAUUAAGGAGAUGACGAUGUUUUUGCUUGGCUACGCCAUUUUGCUGUAGGGUAGAAACACAACUAGUCUGAUGGAAGAUCCAUUUAUCUGAGAAAAUUUGUGUCAUCAUAAAUUUUGGUCCAUUGUCACUGCGAAUGGUUUUAAUCUUGGAAGAAAAUUGGUUUUCAACAAGGUUGAUGUAGGUAGUAAGGUAUUAACGAGCAUCAGACUUAUGGUGCAUAAGGUAGACCCAAGUGCAUCAUGAAUAGUCAUCAAUUAUGGUUAAAAAUAUUGUGCCCUAGUAAUGGUAGGAACAUGAUAACGUCCCCAAAUAUCAACAUGAAUUAAUUCAAAAAGGGCAUGUGUAUUAAUUGAACUCAAUGGAAAUGAAACACGGGUCUGUUUAGCUAAUGGACAGAUUGCACAAUCACCAAUAUCAGAAAAUGGCAUGGUUCUAACAAAAUGAGAUAGGGCACGAAGGCUUUUAUUUGAGAGAUGGCCAAGAUGUUGAUGCCAAAGCUGAGGGGAAGUUAUGGUGACGGCUGAAACGGAAUGGCUGCCAAGUAUCUUCACAGUAUCAAGAUAAUAAAGUCUUUCUCGCUCAGUUCCCGUCCUAAUCAUCCUUCCCGAUCGUUGGUCCUGAAGCAUAAUAUGGCAAAGCACGAAGAGGUUUUAGCAAGUUUGCUAACAGAUAUCAAAUUCAAUCUGAAUAAUGGAACACAAAGCAUAUUAUGUAAAACAAGAUCAUUCGAGAAACAAAUGGUGCCAACGUGAGGCACAUCGGCAAGAGCAUGGUUGGGAAGAUGCACUUGUCGACUCGUAAUGGGUUUACUGCUGGUCAUCAAGUGGGACGAGCAAACAAUAUGGUCUAUGGCUCCAGUGUCAAAGAUCCAACUUGUGUCUCCACUAAAAAAGGAAGCACAUAAAUUUUUACCUGAUAGAUCAUUCAUGCUGAACACGGAAGUGACAUGAUUGGCCAGGUGGUUGGACUUGUUCUUGUCGAUGAGAGCAAGGAGAUGAUGAUAUUGUUCCGCAGUGAGGCUAUACGAAGGAGAAGGCGCUGCUAAACUUGCCGGACUAAAAUCAACAUGGUUCUUCUUCGAAACAAAUCCACUUCGAUCUUGAUAAUCAACCUUGUCAUUGGAGGAAUUCAUCAUCUUCAGCUUGCGACAGUAGUCAAUAGUGUGGCCUUUCAACCCACAAUAGUCACACUUAAGAUGUGCCCGGCAUGUCUCUGAGGUGUGCCAUACAACAUUGCAGCGAUCACAAUGAAAAUGGAGAUUCUUGGGUGUGAAGUGAAGGGAAAUAAUGAGAUUUAUAUGGGAUUUCUAGUGACUAACAUGCAUAUACAAUUCAAAAUCUAUAUACAUUAGCAAUGGAAGCAUUUUAUCACAUAAUAUCAAAGCUAUAGUCAUGCAAAUCCCCUUCAAGAAGCAUAGGUUUAUGUGAGAUGCAUCAAAACAUUUUAUUGAAGAACAAAGUGAAGGUGUAGUUUUAUAUCUCUUGAUCUUGACUUGAGACCAAGGAUUGACCACCUCCAAGCUCUUUGUUCUUGGAACUCCUUGAGCCUAACCUCCCUCCUUGCUUCCUCCACCUUGCUAGAAUAAGUGCUCCUUGGUUCUCCUUUAGUCUCCAAGAUUGAAGACCUCUAAAGAUCCACACCCAUUAGUGUAGUGAGAUGGAUGGAUGAAUGACCAAAACGAGAAAAGAUGAUUAGCUAAAAUCUCCUCUUGAUGGCCGGCCUUGUGAGUUGAGAGAGAGAUUGUGUUUUUCUCUAUUUUGGUGAAAAUAAACUCACAAAAACCCUAAUGAAACUUUUCACUAAAAGUUCCUUUUAUAUCUCAAAGAAAGUUAGCCAACAACUUGACUCCCUCUCUCUCCCUUUCCCUUUAUUUGGCCGGCCCCUUUGUGUUGUUUGGAGUUUUGGGCUUUUAUCAUUUCAAGUCAUCCUAUGCUUGAAUAAAAGGACCCAAGGAGUUUGGGCCCAAUGGGCCCAAAUGAACCCGAACUUUUCUUUAAGCCCAAAACGAUCUUUUAUCGCUUUUAUGAUUUCUUUAGACUUUCUAAUUAAUCACAACACUUAAUUAAUCCAAUUAAUUAUUUCCAUCAUCCAUUAGUUGUCUCACUACAAGAGUGUAUCGGUGUACAAUCAUUUUAGGUUCUAAUUAGCAAGGCAGUGAGGUGAUUGGCACCAAUCCAAUUGAUUAUAUUUAAUCCAAUCACUUAGUGAAUUAAAACUUACUUUUAAUUCUCCUUCUUCUUUGACGACUACUUAUUUAAUCAUGUAGAAGAAUUCACAAGCCAUGAGUGACAUCUAACCAUAUAUCAUGACUACCCAAGCUAAUGUAGAAUUUGUUCGGAGAACCUAUUCAGUUGGAAUUACAAUGUAAUUCGAUCCUUCUCUAAAACAAUACUCUCAAUCACAUUAUUAGGGUAUGGAUAUAUUAUUUCAAACCCCUAAUGUGAUUAUUCCAUGUUAUAUGAUUCAAUUGAGUCGUAUAGGAACGCUUUCCUUUAUUACGCUCGAUACUUCGGCCGAAGAUUCCCGAAUCAUAUCUUAGAGUAUUCAUCCUCUCAUAACGAGGAUUAGAGAUCCCUUGUUGAUCAUCCACAUGCCUCUGAGAAUAAAUCACUGACCCCAACAAUGCAUAGAACACACCCAAGAUGAGGUGUGGUCACGUCUCAUUAUCAAAAUGAUCAGCAACGUAUCCCCAAGACAACUAUGAUGUCUCAGGUCAAAGGAUUACUUACAUUAUUCCAACCAUUAGAGUUACUUGCUUGACAUGUGUGUAGACCUCCAUGCAAGUACUCUUGUUCGAUUGUAUUCAGUGAACUCAUUCCCUUAAUGAGCACCUACAUACAUGUCUUAGUGUCACUACACGAAUGGGAUGAGACUUUCCAUCCUUCCAAUUAAAGGGGACAUAGUAUGUACUGGUCUAUGCAUUGUCAGUAUCCCUCUGACAAUCCUAUGACCAGGAACCUUUUUGGACAUGAUGGUUAUGUGAAGAAGGUCUCUGUAGUCUAACAUCAUUAGAUUACUUCUUCCAUCGAUCCAUUGUCCAUGGAUUCACUAUUUAGGACAUAUAUCGUUUAUUGAGAUAGUCUUAAUUAGUAUCUUUGCCUUUUGAUGUAUAAGAGUCAUCUAUACACACAUUCAUUAUCCUGAAAGGUUUCUUCCAAAGAUUGACUUUCAGGGCAUAUCUCCAACAAUCUCCCACUUGCACUAAAGUCAAUCACUAGUGUAUCUUAUAGAUGCUAGUCGAGUGAACUUAUGCUCAUAGGUAAACUUGGUUAUGUAUUAAUCCUUUUAAUUUAAAAGGGAUUUACUUAUCAAAUGUUUCUAAAAUAUUUGACGAUGUCUCUUUCUUGUGUUCAAAUACUUUGAUGAGACCUUGAUUCCAUGGCUUGAGCUAUCGCCCCAUUACGUCGUAGUGUCCUACUAACAACCUUAUGGUUUGGAUUCAAUCAUUGGUUCUAUAAGAACCCCUUCUAUUCAAAACACCUUUUGAAGCAGUUUCUAAAACUAUAUAUAUCGACAUAUAUUUCAUUUGUAUACUUUAUAUAUACUUUGCUCCAACCUUGAGACCAUUGUAGUACAAUACUAACAAUACAUUCAUAUGAUUAGUACUUCAUCCAUUAUGAAGUUCCAUUUGUUAAAAUGGGUUAUUUUCACUUUGGUUUAUAACCUAAGUGAAUGCACGCUUCCAGAGUCCGACUCUGAUGUUCCUUUCUUAAAGGCAAUAAUACUCUAUCAAUUGUUACGGUUCUGAUCCUAGGCUAUAGUAAUAUCUUAAAGUGACAACCCCAAUGGUUUUUCACCUUUGUAUAUCAUCUCACAAGUCCAUACAUGUGUCCCUUUUGUGAUUUUGUGACACAUUCAUUAUAAGGGUCACGAAAGUGAUUUUCUAUCAUAUAGGAAAAUACUUUCUCAAAUCUUCAACAUUUGAGAUUUAAUUUCCCCAUAUAACAUCCUUGAGAUAGCCUUUCUAUAUCAUUAAGUCCAAUUUCAAGUCUAUACUUCAAAAUUGACCGUGUCACGUUUUGUCAUUUUUAAGUAACAUUUAUGUUUUAUCAAGUCUAUCAAAUAGACUUUAUUCAUAUCUUGUUGCUCAAAUUAUGACAUCACUCCCACUGGCCUUGUUGUAACUUAGCAUUUAUUCAAAAACUUAACACUUAUAUUUUCUCGAUUUGAAUGCAUAUUGCUCCCACUAACUUGUCUUGGAUCUAUUGACAAUCAUUGAGAUCCAUUAGCUUAUUGAUGAUGUCUCAACAAUUUUGGGACUAUCAACAACUCUAGCUAACACAAGUUAUUUAAACGAACAUACACAAAAGAAUUCCUUCUCAAGUAAUUCCAUUUGAAAUGUGUGACUUGCCUUAUCAAGUCCAUUCAUUUAAAUUAUAUGGUGUCAUACACCAUACUUCAAGUUUUAGUCAUACUAAGACCUUUAAUGUAGUCAUAUAAGAAUUAUCCAAGUCAUUAGUGGAAGCAUGGCUCUUACUAAGGAUAUAGAAACUCAACCAUACCUUCUAGGUGAUUGAUAUAAUUCUUUAUCAAAACUACAUAGAGCGUUAUAGUUACAUGAGGUGCUGAAUUUGGAUUGUCUUGUUGUUAAACCAUAUGUUGUGACUCAUUUUGAAACUAUUCCCUUUUGUUUCAUUAAUUUGUCCAUAUGCUUUGUUAUUAGCUUGUUCUCAUAAAAGAGAAUGAUGGACAACUCCCAACAUAUAACCAUUUUAUGCUAGGUUGACGAAACCAACAUUCAUAGACUAUUCUUUAGAAUGUUACACAACAUAGAAUUUCAACGUUUUGAAGAGCUUGAGUCCUUUAACAAUUAAAAUUACAAACUCAUAAUAAUAGUGAUGUACUAUUUUCUUUAGACAACUACAAACCAAUCAUAUUCAAGUUUAUAUCCUUUUUCUCACCUCCCACUAUUUCUCAUGACUUUAAUGAGAAACUACAUUAUACAUUCAAAAUGUAUAAACGUGGAGUAUACGAGUAGAGGACAAUGUGGAGUAGCUUUAAAACCUUUCAAGCUUAUUUGUUUCAAUCUCCACUAAGUUGAUGUCUUGUUAUUAAGUGACUAAAGUCUUUAAACAUUUCAUAGAUUUAGACACUUCGUUCUUGGUUUAAUCACUAACACACUUGACAUUUUAAAACAAUUUUAAGAAUGCCCAAUUAGUUGUUCAAAACUACUAAUUGAAUCAAGAGUGAUCUUGGUUAUUGUGGUUAAGUAAGUGAUAACCAUAUAAGAAACGUUUUCUUAUUACUUAUAUCGUUAUAAUGUGAUCUUCCUUUUCUUCAAGAAAGGAAUCUCUAGACCUUUUUCAAUUCAUAUAGAACUCACAUGUAGGCAAUUGGAACCAAAUCUAAAGAUUCAUUGUAUCCAUCUAUGGCCAACACGUGAGAUCUAUCCAUAAUUGAUAAGUCCAAAGUUUGGAUAUCGCAUUACAUAAGUGAUAUAAAUCUUGUAUCUCAACUAGGAUACAACAAGACAAUAUUCAAUUCAUAACACUACUUUGAGGAAAUAAUAUAGUAGAAGGCAUUCAUCACAUUACAUUGAUAUGAUAAUUCAAACAUUCAUAAUGUUCAAUACAAAAGGAAUUAGCUCUAUACAUUUAGAGACUAAUUAUAUACCUUCAUAUAGGCACCAAUAGUGGUCUUCCAUCAUAUGAAGCCACAUAAUAAGUUCUUAACAAAAUAAGAAAGUUUAAAGACUAUCUUUAAGUGCCUAACAAACUUCCUAAGUAGUUAGCAAAAAAUGGUGGCCGAACCCUUCUCCAUCCUUUUCCUUGCUUGUUCAUCUUCUACUUGGCUCAUCCACCUUAUACAAUUGCAUAAGUGAUUAGCUCUUUAUAUCAAAUAUAAAUAUUUAGAAGAUCUAACAAUUAGAAUUGAAGAUCUAACAAUUAGAAUUGAAGAUAAGAACAUAAACCAUACCUUGUGGUUUGUCCUUAAGAGUUGCAAGGUAUAACCUGCAAUUCCUCUUCCAAUGCCCGUCCUUUCCACAGUGGUGGCAAGUCCCCUUGGGCUAUUUUGCCUUCUUUUUCCUCACUCCUCCUUGCGGCUUAGGAGUGGGUGACUUCUUCUCCUUCCCUUUGUCUUUGCCUUGCGGCUUAGCCUUGGAAGUGGAUGGCUUGUUGUAGGCUACUGCAGCAGUCCCCACAACGUUCUCUUUCUUCAUAGUCUUCUCGGCAGUUACUAACAUGUUUAGUAACUCAGAGAGAGUAUUAUCCAUCUUGUUCAUAUUGUAGUUCAUAACGAACUGCGAGAACGAGUCAGAAAAAAAAAGCCAAGAUGAACUCCUGGGCCAAUUCCCCGUCAAAUGGAGUGUCUAGGCUCUCCAAUUGUUCGAUGAGUCGAAUCAUCUUCAGUACAUGUUGAUGCACUGGAGCUCCCUUGACUAUCUUGGUCUUCACAAGUUCACUAACAGUGCUAAAGCGAUGGUUGCGCAUCCUUUCACCAUAUAACUCCGUAAGAUGGAGUAUGAUGGAAGAUGCACUAUCCAUACCCUUGUGCUGUCUCUGCAACUCCUCAUUCAUGGAAGCCAACAAAUAGCAUUUGGCUUGUGUAUCAUCCUCAACGUGCUUGUCAUACUUAGCACGUUCAUCCUCAGUGGCCUCAGGGCCAAGAGGUAUGUGAGGUGGAGCCUUAUCUAGUACGUAAACAAUCUUCUCCAAGGUUAGGAGAAUCUUGACAUUACGAUACCAUGAUGGGAAAUUGUGCCCCUCUAGGCAAUGUUUGUCGAGUAUUUUCGCGAGUGUGCUUCCAACCAUAGCUAAAUACAUAACAAUAAAAUAAAUUAGUUUGAUUGUUGAUAAACGAUUCGGGUCUUUAAACCGAAUGACACCACCCACUAGUUUUGGCAAAUUCCAUAUCCCUCAAGAUGUAAUCCGGGAGAUUUCAAUGAAAGCUCCUAGCGGGUUAUUGGAGGCUCACUAUUACCAAGCCCACCUCACGAUGAUACGAUGUUGGCUAGCAAAAAUAAUAAUGAGAGGGUAUGACUACCCAUUCACAACAACCUCUUGUGAUUACCCAUCUUAUUGGCCUCUAGAGAACAAUGCCUCACAAUGAUAUGAUGUUGGCACCAUUUCUCUUAGUUAAGUUCUGACCCACCAUGCCAGUUUAGAUAGGGGUCCAAGUACGACCUCACGAUGAUACAAUGUUGGCCACAUUCGUUGCCUACCUUCACCACAUCAAAUGUUUGAAAUAGACUCCUCCUGAGUAUAAGCACAUACUUUGAACUCCCCCAUGAUAGGGUGAAGACGGUGUAUGAGUCAUAAACGAUUGGAGCCUACCAUGGUGGAAGGCCACGAAGAAGUGUUCAAAGCACCUCUCUGCUUUCAACUUAAUAUUGGAUGUUGGUUGAGGGAUUUUAAGGUCUCAUCAUUUUUUAUUUAUUUAAUCAUAUUCAAAUAAAUUGUGUCCUAUUAUAACUACUAGUCCAAAGUUAAUGAAAUUAGUAGCAUAUGAUAUCCCCACUAUUCGUUUUCAUAAAACAAAUCAAUAUCAAAACAUUUUCAAAAUAUUGGAGAUAUAUAUAACUACUAAUUGUGUUCAUUAUAGUUUAGUAGCGUAUGAUACUCCCACUAUUUGUUUUGAGAAAAACAAAUCAAUAUCAAAAACGAAUUUUUCAAAUAUUGGAAGUAACUACUACUACUAUGGUUUUUGCAUUCCUUUGAAAUUGGACUUUAUAGUUAUCUUAGGCUCUUUGGAUGACCAUGGACUUAUUGGGUUAAUCAAUCAACGAGCCAACAUUGUUGAAUAAGAUCUAGGGAAGGUUGUAUCGUUUUAAUUACGUGCUUUCAAUCCAAUUAAAACAUUUUUUCAUUGAGCCAUUAGAAAUGAAAGACAAUCAUUCAUUGCUAAUUAGGGCGUUGGACCCAAUUAAUCUUUAAUCUCACGUCAAAACCCUCUUUUAAUCAUGUCUCCUUACCAAUAGUUAAAGAAACUCUAGUCUAGUACUAGAGGGAAUCAACUAAUUGAAAGAGAUUAAGAAGUAAUAAGAAUUACAAACCGAUUUGUACAAAUUACAUAUACUAAGAGGGAGAGAAAGAUUAAUGUCUAUCAUGACAAGGUCCAAUUGAAAUAGUAAUUAAAACACAUUCCCAAGGUUCAAACAAUUUGAGUUUAGUGCCCUUUCUCAUAGCUCAAUUAUCGUUUAAGGCAUAAGUCCAUAGUCAACCAUUUUCUAACUACUUAAUCACAUUAAAUAAUUAAUUGGAAUGCAACAUAAACAAUUAGAUUUAGUGCAUAUGGGCAUAAUUGUAUGCUGAGUUUAAACAACUAACAAAAUUAAAAUCAAAAUAUUUUAACUUUUUAGAGAGAUGGGGUCUAAAUGCAAAUAUAAAAAGUUAUGGGUCAAACCGUAAAUACUAGAAAGUAUAAUCAACCUUUUUAAAUUACAAAAUAGCCCUACAAGUGGCCAAUCCACUAGGGUGGCCGGCCAAGUUAAGGGGGGGAUGGGAGGUUUCAAACAUUUUGCUUUAAUUCAAAUUAAAGUAGAAAAACCCAUGCUUUUAUUGCCACUUGACAUGCUUUAUGUACUUUAGUGUAAAGGUGAUGGAAAUUCUCCUAGUCAAGUCUAGGAUUGCUUAAAUUUUGGGAAAGUUAUGGACGGUAAGUUUAUCAUCCAAAAACAUAAAACAAUUUGUGAACACAAAACAAAACCAUUUACACCAAAAAUAAAACCAUGAACACCAAGAACAAAACCAUGAAAACAAUUUCAAGAUUUGUACUUUCUUGGUGAUUUUUCAAACCCAAAAACAAAAGUGACAAGGUCUAGAUUUUCUAGCUUAAAAAAAAUGUGUGAGUGACUUACAAUAAAACACAAACACAAGCCAAAAAAUCCCCCCAAAACUGUGCAAACCCUAUGGAACAAAAAACCCCAAAUUUUGUUCAAAACUCAAUCUUCAUUCUUGUAUCCAAAACACUUUUUGCAUACAUAUCUUUUUCAACUCUUGAUACACAUUUUUCAACAUUUGAAAAACAAAAGAUAAACAUAUUUUGAAUGAAGAAAUAAUAUGUCAAACAUAAAAUUAAAAAACCAUAUGCAUAAAAUUCAAAAGGACACAUCAAAUAUAAACCUUUGGCUCUUGAUACCACUUGAAGGGAAAUAAUGAGAUUUAUAUGGGAUUUCUAGUGACUAACAUGCAUAUACAAUUCAAAAUCUAUAUACACUAGCAACGGAAGCAUUUUAUCACAUAAUAUCAAACCUAUAGUCAUGCAAAUCCCCUUCAAGAAGCAUAAGUUUAUGUGAGAUGCAUCAAAACAUUUUAUUGAAGAACAAAGUGAAGGUGUAGUUUUAUACCUCUUGAUCUUGACUUGAGACCAAGGAUUGACCACCUCCAAGCUCUUUGUUCUUGGAACUCCUUGAGCCUAGCCUCCCUCCUUGCUUCCUCUACCUUGCUAGAAUGAGUGCUCCUUGGUUCUCCUUUAGUCUCCAAGAUUGAAGACCUCUAAAGAUCCACACCCACUAGUGUAGUGAGAUGGAUGGAGGAAUGACCAAAACGAGAAAAGAUGAUUAGCUAAAAUCUCCUCUUGGUGGCCGGCCUUAUGAGUAGAGAGAGAGAUUGUGUUUUUCUCUAUUUUGGUGAAAAUAAACUCACAAAAACCCUAAUGAAACUUUUCACUAAAAGUUCCUUUUAUAUCUCAAAGAAAGUUAGCCAACAACUUGACUCCCUCUCUCUCCCUUUCCCUUUAUUUGGCUGGCCCCUUUGUGUUGUUUGGGCUUUUGGGCUUUUAUCAUUUCAAGUCAUCCAAUGCUUUAAUAAAGGACCCAAUGGCUUUGGGCCCAAUGGGCCCAAAUGAACCCGAACUUUUCUUUAAGCCCAAAACGAUCUUUUAUCGCUUUUAUGAUUUCUUUAGACUUUCUAAUUAAUCACAACACUUAAUUAAUCCAAUUAAUUAUUUCCAUCAUCCAUUAGUUGUCUCACUACAAGAGUGUAUCGGUGUACAAUCAUUUUAGGUUCUAAUUAGCAAAGCAGUGAGGUGAUUAGCACCAAUCCAAUUGAUUAUAUUUAAUCCAAUCACUUAGUGAAUUAAAACUUUCUUUUAAUUCUCCUUCUUCUUUGACGACUACUUAUUUAAUCAUGUAGAAGAACUCACAAGCCAUGAGUGACAUCUAACCAUAUAUCAUGGCUACCCAAGCUAAUGGAGAAUUUGUUCGGAGAACCUAUUCAGUUGGAAUUACAAUGUAAUUCGAUCCUUAUCUAAAACAAUACUCUCAAUCACAUUAUUAGGGUAGGGAUAUAUUAUGUCAAACCCCUAAUGUGAUUAUUCCAUGUUAUAUGAUUCAAUUGAGUCGUAUAGGAACGCUUUCCUUUAUUACGCUCGAUACUUCGGCCGAAGAUUCCCGAAUCAUAUCUUAGAGUAUUCAUCCUCUCAUAACGAGGAUUAGAGAUCCCUUGUUGAUCAUUCACAUGCCUCUGAGAAUAAAUCACUGACCCCAACAAUGCAUAGAACACACCCAAGAUGAGGUGUGGUCACGUCUCAUUAUCAAAAUGAUCAGCAACGUAUCCCCAAGACAACUAUGAUGUCUCAGGUCAAAGGAUUACUUACAUUAUUCCAACCAUUAAAGUUACUUGCUUGACAUGUGAGUAGACCUCCAUGCAAGUACUCUCGUUCGAUUGUAUUCACUGAACUCAUUCCUUUAAUGAGCACCUACAUACCUGUCUUAGUGUCACUACACGAAUGGGAUGAGACUUUCCAUCUUUUCAAUUGAAGGGGACAUAGUAUGUACUGGUCUAUGCAUUGUCAAUAUCCCUCUGACAAUCCUAUGACCAGGAACCUUUUUGGACAUGAUGGUUAUGUGAAGAAGGUCUCUGUAGUCUAACAUCAUUAGAUUACUUCUUCCAUCGAUCUAUUGUCCAUGGAUUCACUAUUUAGGACAUAUAUCGUUUAUUGAGAUAGUCUUAAUUAGUAUCUUUGCCUUUUGAUGUAUAAGAGUCAUCUAUACACACAUUCAUUGUCCUGAAAGGUUUCUUCCAAAGAUUGACUUUCAGGGCAUAUCUCCAACAUGAAGUUCCUAUUAGAAUUCUUCGAAUUACCUCGUACUGCAAAAGCUGCUGCAUCGAUGAUGGAGGCUUUGCUAGAUGUGUGAUUUGAAAUUGCUCUUUGUUUCUCAUCUUGUAUGAUAAGUGAGUAGGCUUUGUUAACGGCAAGAAGAGGAUCCAUAAGUAAGAUUUGCCCUCUAACUGCUACGUUAGCAUCAUUAAGCCCCAUCAGAAACUUCAUGGUCUUUUGAUUUUGUUGAAACUGCAACACUUCUUUUACAGUGCCACAUGUACAAUUUGGAAUAGAGCACAAUGCAUCGCGCUCAUCCCAGAGACCUUUCAAUUUGGUAUAGUAAGCACCAAUAUUCAUAUUGCCUUGAACGCAGCCAUGUAUCUCUUGUUCAAUAUGAAAGAGAUGUACGUUGUUCACAUGUGAAAAACGACGUUCCUUCAAAUCAUCCCAUAUAUCAUGAGCAAUGUCAUUGUAAAUCACACUUGCCCUAAUAUCUUGGGAGACCGAGUUGAGAAGCCAUGACUUGACAAGAUUAUUACAGCGUGUCCACCGUUGAAGUUCUGCGGCAGAAGUUCCUCUUGGCCUUUUGAUGGUCCCAUCAAUAAAACCUUUCUUAUUUUUAGCACUGAGAGCCAUAAUCAUGGCACGACUCCAGGUUGGAUAGUUUUCUUCAUUUAGUUGUUGAGUAACUAAGAUAGCUCCAUGCUGAUCAGAGUGAUGGAGAUAAAGCGGAUCAUUGGGAUCAUCAUACUUGCUCAUCUCAGGCUUGGCUGAGGAUUUGGUUAUGGUGGUAUCUUCGAGCACCAUGGAUGUCGGCGAGAAGAAAUAUGGUUGUUAGGGUUUCUUGUUGUGUUGUAAACGGCAAAGAAAUUGGUUAUCAGAGGCCCAGAAGCUCUAGUACCAUGUAAAGAAUUCGAUAAUUGUAUAUAUGAAUUCAUUCACUUUACAAUAGAUCAAUACGAGGGUAUUUAUACAAUACAAUGAUCAAUUAAGAUCCUACAAUCAUGCCUACAUAAGUUGUUCCUUAUUCUACACAUCCAUAUAGAAGGAAAGUAAUCAAUCUAGGUGAUUGAUAUCAUAUUACAUCAAAUUAGCCCUAACAGGCUUUACUUUCCUCAGCACCAUCAGUGACAUGUUGGCCAGGAGGUAUGAGGGACCUGACUUCAGCAAACACACUUGCACUCUUGAACUUGCCAGUCCCUCCAGUCACAGUCAAGUGUGACAUAGGGCUCCUAAUUUUGAAUAUCCCAUAGAAGUUCAAGGUGUCCCCAUACUCACCUCUUCAAUUAUGGCUGUGAACGCCAUCAUUUGCGUUGACCUGUCAGCCGAGCUGGCAACGUAGACGCCUGGGCCUUUCCGAUCAUCUGCGAGCCCAGAUCAAGUGAUGUCAUCAAAAUAUCAUCGAUGACAGUGAUGGUUCCAAAUCCAGGUUCAAACCGUCUGGACUUAAUGGAGUCUGAGGAGCCUGACCACUUUGUUUUCCAGAGAAUGUUGUACCAACUAAGCCGAUGCCAAGUGGAAUCCCAUUAACGCCGUUGAUGGUUGGAAUGGCUCUAUUAGCAUUAGGAAUGGCUACCCUGUCUUAUGGCGGCAGGAAGCCUAUGGGCCUGGCAAAGGGCACUUGGCCACCGUAGAUGUUGCCAAGUAGACCAGUGAUGGGCCUAGCUGUGGGGCUGCUGCCUCCCAAGAUGUCAUGCAUGUACAUCUCAAGGAUUGGCCCAUGGCCACUGGCUUGGACUAGGUCAACCGCUACCUUGACCACUGAGGCAAUUAGCAAUGUGACCAAAAUGGAAAAAAAGAGACUGGUUGAACAUGUUGAAGAGUUGAAGUGUUUUUUUUUCUUGUAUUUUGAUGGGGUUUUGAGGAUUUUGAAGGAAAAUGGAAAGUGCUUUUGUGAGUGUUGAGUUUGGGAAAUGGCUUCUUCUUUUAUAUAGAAUGAAGAAAUGGGAUUUGUGAGAUGGCGUUGUUUAAACGUGCAUCAUUUUGUUUUGGGACUUUUUGACAGCAAUUAUUUAAGCUAAAAAUUAUAUGCAAAUUAUGCAAUUAGUGGCUGAUAGGAUAGCAGUGGGCGAUGUGUCCACAGUGCAUUGGGUACAACCAAACAAAUUAUCAUAGAAUAAUGAAAGAAAAUUUGACAUUUAUAUAAAAUAAAAUAAAUGACUUGGUUAUGUUGUUUUAAUUUUAUAGGCAUUUGACAAUAUCCUUUUAAGGCACCAUAAAUUUCUUUGUGCAUGUUGUUCGUACAAAAAAACUUAUCCUUUUAAGGCACCAAGGGAUCGAUUUUUGUAACAAUAUUAUUGAUGAUGUUUAUAUUGAUUGCAGUGAUAAUAUGAGUAACACGAUAAAACACUCUGUUAUUGAAAUGUUAGCUACUAAUGUCAUAAAAAAUUUAUCGAGGAUGACAUCGAGGUCGGGCUCUUGAUAGGGCUAUUAUCUUUUAGUUGUUUGACGUUUUUUAGACUCAGCCUCAGGCCUUCCUUAGUUUAUUCAAUCAAAUGAUUAUAGAUAAAUAGGAGGGUGUUCUAAGUUAAAAAAAGUGUGAAAAUCAACUUAAAUACUAAUUCAUAUAGGACUUGUGUUAUGCAACAGUAGUUUCAAGAAAUACAAUUCUCUUUUUAUUGGAAUUGACUGCCGUUAUAGCAAUAUUGGAGUGAGAAUGACUUUGAAGUUUUCCCCAAAAAAAAAAAGGAAUAUUGAUGGCUUAUUCGUCCCCGUGUCUUUGGUGACUUGUUUGAAAAAUAACAGAUACAGAAAGAAUAAUGGCAAUGUAACAAAUGGAGAUUACAUAAUCAAUCAAUCAUGGCACGUCUGAGUUAUCAAUCUCCUGCACAGCCUCUUCACGAUCCAUCACUUUCGACUGCCUCACCGCCGGCGAAAUCAACGUCCAUACUGCAUUAAAAUUUAAUUUAAAAAUCAAGAAAGAUGAUGGUAUGCACAAAAAUAAACCGAUUUACGCGUACAGAAGCAAUCCAACUAAGAAAUCAUAUAUACGGGAUUACUUACACAAUACUGAAGCUGCAAACCAUUCGUUGACGAUUUUUACCCAUGUACUAGUCCAUCCGACAUCGAUGCUCCACCUGAAUGUUUUUCCAGAGUGUUAGUUAACCAUAUCAAUUUCAUACGAAAUGGAGAUCUCCCAAAUAAAGUCAUCUGUGAAUGAUAGAUGAUUCCUUACUUCUUAGCGGAGUUACUGAGGUUCCAACUGAUGAACAAC